GACGAACGCUGGCGGCGUGCUUAACACAUGCAAGUCGAACGGAAAGGCCCUGCUUUUUUGGGGUGCUCGAGUGGCGAACGGGUGAGUAACACGUGAGUAACCUGCCCUUCACUUUGGGAUAACUUCAGGUAACUGGGGCUACUCCCGGAUCGGAGCUCCCGCUCCAUGGUGGGGGUUGGAAAUUUUCGGCGGUUGGGGUUGGACUCGCGGAUUAUCAGCUUGUUGGUUGGGUAGUGGCUUACCAAGGGUUUGACGGGUAGCCGGCAUGAGAGGGUGACCGGCCACAAUGGGACUAAGAUACGGCCCAGACUCCAACGGUAGGCAGCAGUGGGGAGUAUGGCACAAUGGGCGGAAGCCGGAUACAGCAACGCCGCGGGCGGGAUGACGGCCUGCGGGGUAAAAAACGCAUUCGGCUGUGACGAAGCGGGAGUGACGGUAAUGAGUAAAGAAGCACCGGCUAACUACGUG
RNAcentral lists this ribosomal RNA (468 nucleotides) under uncultured bacterium. RNAcentral describes it as "partial 16S ribosomal RNA". It matches the Rfam family "Bacterial small subunit ribosomal RNA", at positions 28 to 507 of the family's 1533-position model. The record is from RNAcentral.